Molecule: long non-coding RNA, 7476 nt
Filed under: Homo sapiens (human)
Lineage: Eukaryota; Metazoa; Chordata; Mammalia; Primates; Hominidae
Description: HSALNT0091455
Source: RNAcentral
UAAUGUUAUACUAUAGUUUACCUUUAGCAGAAACUAGGUAAAGUAUACACAGUAUCUCUUUAUUAUUUCUUUCAACUGCAUGUGAAUAUAAAAUUAUCUCAAUACAAUUUUCAUCUAAAAAUUAAAUGUUACAUAAUUACAAUUUGAUCUAUCUAUAGCCUCUAAAUUUACAAAAGGAAUAGGCAUUUUUAAAUAACUGCUCUAGAUAUUUAAUCGAUAAUAAAUACCUAGUAAGAGGAGAUACCCUAAAUUUAGCAUAUUAGAAGUCAAGUACACAUAUAGUAUGAGAUUUUAUAGGUUAAUAAAAUAUAAUGUUAAUUUAGAAGAAAGGGAAGUGUUUCAAUAUUUGAAAAGAGCAAAUUUCUAAUUCCCAGGUAUUGUGCAUUUUCACUGCAUCUAGUGAAAUCACUGUUAUAAACCACUCAAAGCAACAUCACUGGUGUUGAUUUUAUUUGAAGAUAAUAUAAUCCAGUUUUAUAUUGUACUUUGUAAAUCAAAAGCAACAUGGGACAGGGAAUGUUUGCAGUACAGAUCUAAGUUGGAGGAAGACAUCACUUUUAAUUAAGAAGCACUAAAGUGAUAUAUAGUUCUAUAGGAAAAGUGCCAGAUCAGAAGAAGUGAAAACACUUAGGUUUUAAUAGUUUCCUUUUGGUGACUCUAACUAUGCUAAUUUGUCUUUGAUAAAUUGUGACAAGGACUGUCAACUUAAAUGGUCAACAUACUCAUUAAAAUUAAGCAAUAACAUUUCUAUAGUAAUAAUCUUAGAUAUGUUUAAGACUUAGCCCUUUUUCUGGAAGUUAGAGUCUAAUAAUCUCUGCUUAGUCCCCCAGGGAGUGGGGUGAGGGGAGGGUGGUGGCGGCAUUCAAGUUCUGGCAGCAUGUGAAACAACAGGCAACCCUCAGGAAUUUCAGGGCCACACAAUCUACUUGAGUUACAUGAUACACUUGUGAUUAACACUAAUUCAUUUAAUGUGCUCAAGUAUCUAUGUACCCAGUUAGAAGAUUCAGAUCCUAUAAUAUUCCUAGGUAUUUUGUAUUUCAUCACUUUAUUACUAUUUUAAUGUUGACACAAGGACCCAAGAUCCAAUCUUCAUGAUAAAGACAAAAUUUCUUAUUAACAGCUAAGGUGAAUCCACAAGUUGACAUUCUAAUACAGUGUCAGAAGACGGAACCAAGGGAUUGCCUUGGGUGGGCAUCAACAUUGAAUCACUGCAGUUGGAAAUAACAAUCAGUUUUGUUUUUAUGAUUUCGCAUUGAUGUUUACUUAUAUUUAAGCUCCUUUAGAGAUUUCAAAUGACCAGACCACCAAGCCUGGCUGCAUUUUCCUUGAAAACUAUUAAGAAAAAAUAUAUAGAGAUCAGGAAGACUUUGUUGAUUCUUUGCAAUUUGCAUGUGCACUAUACGAAAACUAGGAGAAAUCUGAAAAAAAAAUCAGAUAUCCAUAUGUUAUUUAAUACCUCAUAUCCAGAUGUUUUGGAGGUCUGGUGUUAUAAGGUUUAUAGCUUUAAGACUGCAUAUAUUUUCAGAAGUCAAAUAAAAUAUUGCAUUUUAUUUAUUCAUUUGUUUCUCAUUUUGAUUUGUUUCUACUAUCUUUUAGAAUUACCAAGAAAUUUUAUGGAAAUCAUCAUUUUGAAGUCAGGUAAUAAGCAGAAAAAUAAAGAACUGCAAUAUUAUCUAUCUUCUUAAGUGUAUAUUUAGCAUUCUCUUGUUCAGUUAUCCAGAUGAUUAAAUUUAUUUCUUGAAAAGCAAAUCACAUAUCAAAUUUGGCCUUACUUUUUGGCACAUAUGAUGGUAAUGUGGAUUAAAUGUUAUGAAAACAGCUAAAUUUAAUUAAAAAUAUACUUUAGAACUAAAAAACUAAAAAUCUCAGGUUAAAAUUUUUUCAUAAUCUGUGUAAAUCUGAAAAUACGAGUAAAAUUAUUGAAUUGUAUUGAAAUGAAGGUAGGAAAAAUAAAUUUUAUAAAAUGUUUACAUAUAUUUAUAAACUAUGUAUGUUUCCUUUAUUACUAGUUUAAAUGUCCUUACUCAUAAACAGAAGAUCUAAAUAUGGGAAAUAAUCAAAUUCCAUCAUGUUUAAUAUUUUUCUUUCUCCAGUCAUAUAAACAUUGAUUCAUGACUUAUUUUCAUAUUUUGUUGCUCAAAAGCUAUAGUUGACAGGGUAGGACAUUUGAAUAUGUUCUGGGUAGCAAUUUUGUUACCUUAAUUUAUAAUUGUAAAUAUUUAGAGACAUGAACUCCAUUUGUCUUCCUGCCCCAGGCAGGCUACUGUUAGGUGAGACUAUACAGAUCUUUUUUUUUUAAGUCAUAUUAUCAUUAUCUGAUAUAGUUUGGAUGUGUGUCCCUGCCCCAAUCUCAUAUUGAAUUGUCUAACUGUAAUCCUCAAUGUUGGAGGUUGGGCCUGGUGAGAGGUGACUGGGUCAUGGGUUGGAGUCUCAUGAAUGGUUUAGCACCAUCCCCUUGCUGCUGUUCUCAUGAUAGUGAGUGAGUUACGGGAGAUCUGGUUGUGUAAAAGUGUGCAGCACUUCGCUGCUGGCUCUCGCUUGCUCCUGCUUUCAGCAUGUGCCUGUUCCCCCUUUGCCUUCUGCCAUGACUAGAAGCUUCCUGUGGUCUCCCCAGAAGCAGAUGCCACUAUGCUUCCUGUACAGCCUGAAGAACUGUGAGCCAAUUAACCCUUUUUUCUUAUAAAUUGCCCAGCCUCAAGUAUUUCUUUAUGGCAAUGCAAAAACAGAGUAAUCUUUUCUUCAAGAUCCUUCCUCACAACUAAGAAGUUGACCCUGCCUUUUCUUUCUUCCAUGUAUAUGGGUUUUCUUUACAGUGCCCUCUAAAUUUCAAUGAUUGGUUUAUACUUCACUCUUCCUGGCUAAACUGUAUUUAGAUUUUAAAAAUCACUCUGCUUUACUUAGUAUUAGAACUCUAAUGCUCUAUAGCAGUCAUGUACCUGGAACCUAGUAGUUGCUCAUGAAAAUGUAUGUUCAGUUUUAUGUUGAAUUUGUGUUACUGAAAACCAUCUAUCAGAGUAUGGAUUACACUUUAGGUCAGGGGUGUCCAAUCUUUUGGCUUCCCUGGGUCACAUUGGAAGAAGAAUUGUCUUGGGUCACACAUAAAAUACACUAACAACAGCCGAUGAGCAAAAAGAAAAAUAAUCGCAAAUAAACCCUCAUAAUCUUUUAAGAAAGUUUACAAAUUUGUGUUGGGUCACAUUCAAAGCCAUGCUGGGCCGCAUGCAGCCCACAGGCCGCAGGUUGGACAAGCUUGCUUUAGAUAUUCACUUAGCACAUGUUAAUGAUGGAGUAAAUAAAAUUGAUCUUCCAACUUGCAAUUUUCUAGCAUCCUCAUGAAAUUAAAAUUCCAUUUCGCUUACCAAUACCUGUCUCUAUUAUCUAAAAACUAUCCAUCAGAGGGUAACUAAUUAAUGCACUAAUUUUUCUCUGCUGAGGCAUUGGCACUGACGUUUUAGUAAUGCCAUGUACUUUUCCCAUUUGUAAUUUGUAAAAUAUUCUCUUAUGAUCACCAUGUAUUUUGUAAAUAAUAAAAUAGUAUUUGAUUAUAUACAUAAUCAAUGAUAAUAAUGAUUUAUAUAUAUAUAGUAUCAUAUAUACGUCAUUUAACAAACCAUUGUUAUGGUUUAAAUUAUGUUGCCCAAAAAGUUGUUGAAGUGCUUUCUCUCAGUAAAUGUGACCUUAAUUGGAUAUGGUAUCCUAGCAGAUGAAAUCAUUUGGGUGGUCCCUAAUCAAUACGACUGAGUCUUUAUAAAAAGGGGAAAUUUAGACACAGACAUAGACACACACACAGGGAGAAUCCUAUGUGAGCAUGAAGGAAGAUACCAGAAAAUGCAUCUAUAAUCCAAAAAAUGCCAAAAUUUCCAGAAAACUACCAGAAAUUAGGAAAUGGGCAUAAACAGAUUAUCCCUCACAUCCCUCAGCAGAAACCAACCUUGCUGACACUUUGAUGGUGCAUGUCUAGCCUCUAGAACUAUGAGAACGUUAAUUUCUGCUGUUUAAGCCAUCCAGUUUUUGGUGAGCUUUGUAGCGUUUUCAUAGAGCUUUGUUACACCAGCUCUACAAAACUAAUACACCCAUAAAUAUUGCUAAAGAUAAAUAUUCUCAGAGCCGCCUAUCAUUUGGACAAUAUAUCAACAACUAGAAUGACUGACGUGUGAAUAGUAUCUUUUGAAAGAAAUCCUAAAAUUCACCUUCAUUGAGAACUUUCAAAGAGAAGAGAAAAGUCCAAUUUGGGGUGCAGUCCUAUGCAAAAGCAGCCACCCUAGUGGGGAUGACGCCAGGUGGGUUUUUAUGAUUGGCUUAAACAUAGAUUGGGAUGGCACGAAAUAAAGGCAGAGAAAAGGGGAUAGAAGAUCCUAAACCCUCUAAUUAUGUUCUUUCAUCCUCCCUCACUACGCACCAUUUGCUUUUUUAUAAUGUGAUACCUGCCAGAGAGAUCAUAUGGGCAAAGUAUUUCUGCUUCUAAAUUAGCCCAAAAGUUAAAAAAAAAAAAAGAUUCCGGGUUUGCUUUCCUGUGAAGGUAUAAGAUAAAAUGUAAAGAACAAGCACAGUGAUGAUAGAAAGGUUGGACUCAGAUUUUAUAUUUUUACAAAAGGAAUUUUUAAAACACAUAUUGUACGUGAAGAGAUGUAGCAGGGUACUAAUAGCGUAGGCCUUUUAAAAAUCAAUAAUUGGUGUUAGUAAUAAGAGAUGUGCUGACAACCAGCUGUGAAAGUGGCCUCAUUCCUGCAGUGCAGGAGGGAAAGAAACCAGCCGGUGAUUACUAACUCCAAAUAUUGCUUGCAGUGAAAGCUUCAUUAAAAAAAAUUAGUAAAAUACCCCUUUUACCUUAAAAUAUGUGUCCCCAUAUUGAAAGAGGAUCUAUAUAAAGAGUUCAGAAAAGAACUGCUGCAAACUGUUCAAAUCAAGAGUAUUUCCCAGUUGGGCCACCGGCCUACAUUGUGGAACUUACUCUUUAGUAAAAAGCUCUUCUCCUCCCAAUUAAAGAAAAAAAGGUUGGGAUGCCCACAGGUCCUUGCAGCAUGUUUAGCGUGACUUUUAACCCCUCAUUUCACCUUCUGUAUAUGGCUCUUCUUUAUACCACCACCUGAUACAGCCACAGAAUCUAGUCUCCACUGCAAAUUAGGCUGUUAGCAUCUCUUUCACAAUUUUUAAAAGUCAGUGUCGAAAUUCACUGUUGGCCCUUGCUGGUCUUCUAUGCAUGCUGCCUGUGAAAAUCCAGCCAUUUAUUUUUAUUCAAAUCAAAGGGAGGCAUUUUUGUUAUUAAAUAAGUUACUCAAAAACAAACAGCAACAGAGUCCACUUCUUACCAGCAUAUUCCUGCAAGCCUGAUAUUCUACAUGAAUUAUCUUAAUGAGGAAAUAUAUCCAAGCACUGAAUAAGGAAUCUUAGAUUUCCAGCUUUGACUUUUAGCUACAGCUCACUCACACACAACCUUACAGAAUCCCUUAAAUCUCCAAGAGCCCAUUUCUCAUUUUCCUCUGUGCUCCCAUGGAGCUGAUCCAAUGGUUUUUAAGGGAGCUCUGAGCUUGGACAAGCUCUGAAGGGCAUGGGGCAAGACAAGAAACGGGCCCUGCGCUCCCUGCUUAUCGUCUUGGAAAAUAGGUAUGAUAAUAUCAGCCUCACCAGGGUCCCAUUGCAAUUAAUGUUUGGAAAAUGUUUUGAAAUCCCAGAGUUAAGAAAGGCAAUACCAGCGUCAAUUAUUUAAGGGUCUUAUUUCUAAAGCACUAUUCAAAUUGUUUUAAGCCACUUUUUCUAAAAAUAUAUGAUACAAAGGCAAUUAUACUACCUGCAAGCAUAAAUUGAUGUGGUGGUUUUAUGGUCUUUUGAAAAUUGCCUUAGUAGAAUAUCUCUGUGACCUGGAACAUCUAGUUAAAUGAGGAAUCUGAGUUUUGUAGACUCGCCCAAACACUUAAACGCCAAAGAGAUGAAUCUAUGGGAAGGGUGCUUUUCUUUGUUGAUCUUGAUUGCAGUUUCUGCACUUUCCAGAAGGUGAUGUUGCUUUGCUUGGCUUCGUUUCAGAUCUGAGGAGGGAAGCCAAACAAACAGUGGAAAAUGAAGGAUGAAUAAAAAAAGAAAAGAAAAGAACCUUGGCUUAGGAAAGAGAAAACUUUUACAACCAAAGGCAUUACAGAAGGUCUUUGAGUUUCAAUAACUUUGUAAUCUUCAUAUCCAACCAAUUUUUGCUGUAUGAGUAUUUCUGAGUCGAACAUCCUGGAAUUAAAGAUAGAUUCCAAAGUAUUUCUAAACAAUGUGUAAAACUGGCAUUAUUAGAAGUCUUUGAGUAUAUAGACAAGACGGAAAGUUUAAAAUAGGGAAACUAAAUUGAGAACAAAGAUGUUUCUAAAGAUAAAUCUAUUGCUUGAAUUUAUUAUAUAACAACAUUUUUUAACUACACAGGUUUGCAUUUUACUUGGUACAAAUAUAUCGUUGAAGAGUUCACUUACACAUCCAAGCUAUUACAUACAACUGGGAAUGGAUGCUCAAUGCUGUGUACAAGAUUAUUUGGAAACAGGUCAAUUGAAUGUUGGAGCUGCUAACUCCUCCCACUAAAGAAAGAACCCGCUUGUGGCAUACUGAUUGCAUCAUUUAAAUGAAAAGCUCCUAUUAUUAAAGAUAAAAUACUACAAUAUAAGGGUUUGUUAGAAUUAAUUUAAAAAUCCUGAUAUUAAAUGCAGUACUUUUUUAACAGUGUGUUUAUUUCUUUGUCUUAUAGAUUCUUUUCUAAAGCAUGCUUUGUAUUAACUACUGGUGAGUAAUAGGAGGGGAUGAUCAUAUCAGUAUAUAUUCAUCUCCUGUGGCUAUUCUGCUGCAGUUAAUUCUUAAAUACAGUAGGUUAUAAUAGGGUGACAUUUCUAUAGUGCCUUUCAUAAGAGCAAUCUAAAGCAUGUCAUAUAAUGUUUGACUUUGAACUAUUCAGUUUCUUAGUGACACAAAUCUCAGGGUAAAUUUAUGCCUUCAUGGUUUGUUUCCUUAAAAAAUAUGAGUCAUUGUAUUUGUUAUAGUUUGAAAUUUAUCAUAGAUUCACCAUAGAUUAUCAAGUUAUCCAUGCCAUAAUAAUCUGUAACUGUCCUUAUCUGUGUGUUAGAUGUGCAGGGUUAUGAUGUGUGUGGACUUUUUACGAUCUACUUAUCUCUUCUGGUCAUAUAGAUUUAUGUGUAUCUCUUUUCUGACUAAAUCUGAAAUCAGAGCUUGCAUUCUGAAGAAACAAAACAUAUCUAUGUAAAAUCCAAGUACUAUUCCCUGACAUCUAAAAGUUAGAGAAAAAUGAUUAUAAUACCCUCCACCAAAAUAAGGAGGUACUCAAUUUCAAUUGCAUUUUUUACAAAAUAAAAUGUUAAAUGUGUGAAAUGUAUAAUGUACCCUGAGAUUAAGCUAAGUAUCCCCAGAAUGAUUUUUAGAGUUACAAUAAAUAGACUAUUUCAAGGGACAGUGUUUGAUUAUCUAAAAUUUACAUAUUUGCAACAGUUGUUUCUG